AGUGAAACAUCUUAGUACCCGUAGGAGAAGAUAUUUCGUGAGUAGUGGUGAGCGAAAGCGGAUGAUGGCUAAACCGUGUGCGUGUGUGACUCGGCGGGGGUUGCGUGUGCGGGGUUGUGGGGCUCUUUUUUCUCAUCUUCUGCCGGGGGUGGGGGUGUGUGCGUGUGCGUGUGGUGAACAUCUUGGGAUGGGUGACCGUAGUGCGUGAUAGUCGUGUAGCUGUGUGUGUGCGUGUGUGCCAAGGGGGUGCCCGAGUAGUGCGGGGCUCGUGGAAUCUCGUGUGAAUCUGCCAGGACCACCUGGUAAGCCUGAAUACUUUUUGGUGACCGAUAGUGCAUAGUACCGUGAGGGAAUGGUGAAAAGUACCCCGGGAGGGGAGUGAAAUAGUGCCUGAAACCGGGUGCCUGUAAGCCGUCAGAGCCUGCUUUUGUUGGGUGAUGGCGUGCCUUUUGAAGAAUGAGCCUGCGAGUCAGUGAUGCGUGGCGUGCUUAACCCGUGUGGGGGAUGCGUAGCGAAAGCGAGUCUUAAUUUUGGGCGUGUGUCGCGUGUUGUGGACCCGAAGCGGGGUGAUCUACCUAUGGUCAGGGUGAAGCUAUGGUAAGACGUGGUGGAGGCCCGUACCCACCAGGGUUGAAAACCUGGGGGAUGAACUGUGGGUAGGGGUGAAAGGCCAAUCAAACUCCGUGAUAGCUGGUUCUCCCCGAAAUGCAUUUAGGUGCAGCGUCACACUGGGCUUGGUGGAGGUAGAGCUACUGGUUGGUUGAUGGGCCGUGUUGGUUACUGACGUCAGCUAAACUCCGAAUGCCAUUUCAAGUGGGUGUGGCAGUGAGACUGCGGGGGAUAAGCUUCGUGGUCGAGAGGGAAACAGCCCAGAUCAUCGGCUAAGGCCCCUAAGCGUGCGCUGAGUGGGAAAGGAUGUGGAGUCGCGUUGACAGCCAGGAGGUUGGCUUAGAAGCAGCCAUCCUUGAAAGAGUGCGUAAUAGCUCACUGGUCGAGUGGUUGU
RNAcentral lists this ribosomal RNA (1003 nucleotides) under Clostridium celatum. RNAcentral's name for it is "partial 23S ribosomal RNA". It matches the Rfam family "Bacterial large subunit ribosomal RNA", at positions 192 to 1160 of the family's 2925-position model. The record is from RNAcentral. Lineage: Bacteria; Bacillati; Bacillota; Clostridia; Eubacteriales; Clostridiaceae.